Molecule: ribosomal RNA, 1232 nt
Filed under: Quercophylus gonoporospinus
Lineage: Eukaryota; Metazoa; Arthropoda; Insecta; Hemiptera; Miridae
Description: 16S ribosomal RNA
Rfam family: Archaeal large subunit ribosomal RNA (bases 800-1164)
Source: RNAcentral
UAUAUUUUUAUAUAUUAUGUUUUUAGUUUAUAUAAAUUAAAAAAAAUAAUUUUGUUUUUAGUAUUUUUAAGAAAAAAAUUUUUCUUUUUUUGUGUACUGUGAAGGGGUUAAUUGAUUUAUAUAAAAUUAUUUAUUUUUAAUGUACCUUUUGUAUCAGGGUUUAUUAAAUUUUAUAAUUUAUUUUUAUUUUCUCGAAAUUUUAAGAUUUAUAUUAAUAUGUUAAUAUAUGUGAUAAUAUAUUUAAUAAUAUUAAUAUAGGGAAUAUAUUUUAUUCAAUUGAAAAUAUCUAGUUUUUCAAUAAUUGGAUUUAAUCCAAAAGUAAAUAAAAGUAUACUUUUAUUUAUAUUUAUUUACAGUUAAAAAGGGAUAAGCUUUUUUAAGUUUCUAGAAAAAAUUCUAGUUUAAUAUUUAUUAUAGGAUUAAUAAUAUUCAUUUUUUAUUUUGUAAAAAUUAUUUUUAUUAUUUUUUUAAUUUUUGUUAUUUUUAGAUAGAUAUUGAAAUAAAGGACUUAAUUUUUAAGUUUUUGGAAAAAUGAUAAAAUUAGUAUAUUUUUAAAAUAAAUUAUAGUAAUUCAGCAAAUAUGGUUUUCACCUGUUUAACAAAAACAUGGUCUUUUGUUUAAAAUAAAAGAUUUAACCUGCCCAAUGAUUAUUUUAAUGGCUGCAGUAUUUUGACUGUACAAAGGUAGCAUAAUCAUUUGUCUUUUAAUUGGAGUCUGGUAUGAAUGGUUGGAUGAGAAAUUUACUUUCUUUGUUUUAUAAAUAAAAUUUAAUUUCUAAAUCAAAAAGUUUAGAUAUAUUUAAAGGACGAGAAGACCCUAUAGAACUUAACUCCCCUAAAUUAAUUAUUUACUUGUAAAUAAUUUUUAUUUAGUUUUUAGGGGAGUUUUAUUGGGGUGAUAGAAAAAAUUUUAUAACUUUUUUUAUUUUAUUCAUUUAUUUAUGAUUUUUUGAUCCUUUAUUAUGGAUAUAAAGAUUAAGUUACCUUAGGGAUAACAGCGUUAUUAUUUUGGAGAGUUCAUAUUAAUAAAAUAGUUUGCGACCUCGAUGUUGGAUUAAAAUUAGUGUCAGGGGUAUAAUAUUGAUUACUAGGUCUGUUCGACCUUUAAAUUUUUACAUGAUCUGAGUUCAGACCGGCGUGAGCCAGGUCGGUUUCUAUCCUUAAAUUUUUUAGAAAAGUUUAGUACGAAAGGACCAAUUUUUUGGAAUAUUUUUUAUAUUUUGAUUUAUAUU